RNAcentral lists this long non-coding RNA (502 nucleotides) under Equus caballus (horse). RNAcentral describes it as "lncRNA (ENSECAG00000052254.1)". The record is from RNAcentral. Lineage: Eukaryota; Metazoa; Chordata; Mammalia; Perissodactyla; Equidae.
CUUUGAUCAGGAGAAAUCUAACAGUUCUCUCCUCAGCUCUGUACCAUGUAUUUUUCAUUUUCUGUCCUAAGGCCCUAUAAUUCUUCAUUGUAUUCAUACAUGUGAAAGGACACUUUGUGUGGAAGGAGAGGAAACAUGAAGUGAAAAUAUACAUCAUCCUGGGAAUUGGCCAGUGGUCUGAUCAUCUGAGCAGGUGCUUGAAGGAAAAAACUGGAAGAUCAGAGAUAAGAAAGUCUGGAUAGAGAACUAACGCUGGGCGAAUAGAAGAUGGCAUAACAUGUGGAUAUUUCUACGUAACCAGAAAGAAGCUAUCCUGGAAGAAGCACUGAACAACCAAAUGGAAAGAAUGUUUUCUAUGGCUCUUCAGAAUGUGCUAUGGGAUUGAGCACCAGUCAUGGUGGGCAACGUGAUAAAGCAUCCUUGUGUUAUCUCUUUUUCUAUUCAGUCCCACUGUCCUUCACCCUCAACUUGCUGAGAUCACUUUGCAAAUAAACUAUAUGGA